RNAcentral lists this long non-coding RNA (2389 nucleotides) under Zea mays. RNAcentral describes it as "long non-coding RNA (ZMAY_LNC003730)". Lineage: Eukaryota; Viridiplantae; Streptophyta; Magnoliopsida; Poales; Poaceae. The record is from RNAcentral.
CCGCAGGUUAUGUCAAUCAUCUGUUUGCCCAGGAUUUUGCUCGCGAAGCUCAUUGAUGUGUUGUUGGAUAAAUGGCUCCAUUAUCUCUAGCUGAUGUAGGAUGCUGUGAUGUGCCUCAAGUACUGUAACACCCUGGGGUCCACAAACACCCCGGAAUGGUACUAAACAACACUUCUGACAUCUAUAUAUAAAAUUUCGGCAGCAUCCCCUUUGCAAAAUUGCAUAAAUGAGGGGGCAACAGUGUAUAAACAUAUAUCAUGACAAAAACAUACUAAGUAUUAUUAAGCGGCUUGCAAAGAGAAAUUAAACAUACGACAUGAACUGAAUUAACUAGUGCGCACGACUAGUAAAAAACAAACUUCCUUUGACAAUAAGUUUCUAAUUAAAUCAUGGCUGCACCUGGGCAGCGUUAUUGUGAGAGUGAAAGUGGACGUGCUGCUACUCCCCUCAUUCCCAACAUGUAUCAAGUACCUGCAUUGAGUAAUGCAAGAGUGAGAUGACACAUCUCAGCAAGUAAAAUAAUAUCAAACUGUUUAACCACAUAAGAACAUUGUUUUACCACCACUUGAUUCCACAACUUUCUUAUUACGAAGGUGCAGCACGUAUACAACGUACAACACACCUAGUCACCACACCGCGCAGGUAGAAACCACAAUAGUAACAUAGUAAUGUCACACUUCAUAUAUACCUCAUGAGUGCAAAUGUCUGCAAAUGCAAGGAUGACUUCUGCCUUCAUACCUCUAAGGAUAUGAAGCCGCAUCGUACCCCUCCUCGGGCAACGUACGAUGCUAAAAAUGUACCGGUACGGUCGGACCAUAAGAUCACGACAUAACUUCAAAAUGCAAGAUGGAUGAUGCGAUGUGCAUGUCAUGCCUACAACACUUCAUAUAACGUGAUUCCCAAAAAAAGAUACUUCAACUUCAUCCAAGAUGGGAAUCAACCACAUAUAUCAUUACCAAACUAUGAUCAUCCCCAAUAUUAAACAAUUGAGAAUUAAUACUUCCAAACAAAUAAACUUCAUCAUAGAAUUCAAUGAUUAACAUAAUUAAAACUUAUGCAUACUUAAUGACAGGGAAUAGGAUGCAAACCAAACGGUAGCAACCACCACUGUAUUUACUUGCCUUUACCGGAAGUUCGGGCAAAUCCCUAAGUACGAUCCGGAAGUCCACCACCUGUUUUUGACACACAACUUAGUGCACCAAUUUCACAUAAUUAGGCUCAUAAACGACGCCGCUCCUACGCACAAACUCAAACCCCGCCGCGGGUUACAUCUCUCCCCACACCCACCAAACUGCAGCGGCGCUGCUUAAUAAUUUCAUAACUUUAAAAUUAUGACAGCAGUGGUAACAAACAAAAACUCUAGAGGCAUCUACAUAAAAUUCCCCACAAGUUUUGUAUACAAUUUAUAAUUAAAUUUCAACAUCUAAUUAGUCCAAAACAGUCCACAAGAUGAAUCCUGUAAUCUGUUUUUUUGUCCUUUGGACAGCGACAUAUCCGGAUUCAAACAGCGAUAUCUUUUAAAAUAUAAAUCCAAAUCAAGUGCAUAAGUACUCAUUGGAAAGAUAAGACAAAGCCCUAUAUGAUUAUCAUAUUGGUUAACACUAAUUACCCACGAAAAAUUCCCAGAAACUGCUAAUACUACUGCUGUUCACCCACCUGAAAAAUCUGUUUUUUGGACAACAACAUAACCGGAUUCAAACAGCGGUAUCUCCUAAAUUACAACUCCGAAUCGAGCGCAUAAGUACUCGUUGGAAAGGUAUGACAAAGCUCUACAUGAUUAUCAUAUUGAUUAUCACUAAUUUCCCACGAAAAAUCCCCAGAAUCUGCUAAUACUAAUGCUGUUCGCCCACCUGCGGAAAUCUGUUUUUUUGGACAGCAACAUACCCGGAUUCAAACAGUGAUAGCUCCUAAAUUAUAACUCCGAAUCAAGCGCAUAAGUACUCGUUGGAAAGGUAUGACAAAUCUCUACAUUAUUAUCAUAUUGAUUAUCACUAAUUUCUCACGAAAAAUCCCCAGAAUCUGCUAAUACUAAUGCUGUUCGUCCUCCCACAAAAAUCUGGACAGCACCUAUACCGAUUCGCAUAGGUAAACAUGUAAUCAAUUGGAUUGCAGCACAAAUACUAAAAAGAAUGAUCUUAAAAUCACCUUGGGUUCCUCCUUUCCUCCUUCCUUUCUUCCUUCUUCCUCCCUCCAAACUCCAAUGGAAGACUCGCACCCAUACGACGGGGUACCAAGCGGGGAGGCUGCACCAUGGAGAGGAGGAGGGGGGGGGGGCGGCUAGGGUUGAGGGGUGGUGCUGCAAUCACUUGGGGAGGAAGGAGAGGGAGAGAGAGAGGGGGUGGCGGCUACAAAGGGGAAUAGGGGAGGGGGUGGCGGCUGCAACCAAAGG